RNAcentral lists this unclassified non-coding RNA (372 nucleotides) under Hevea brasiliensis (rubber tree). Lineage: Eukaryota; Viridiplantae; Streptophyta; Magnoliopsida; Malpighiales; Euphorbiaceae. The record is from RNAcentral.
ACGAGACAUCUAACAAAUCCUUAAUUCGGAAUUUGGAAAGAAAGCGUUAUUCCCAUCCAGAAUUGGAUUAUCCAUAGCAGGGAAAUUUGUUAAUUUCCUUUUCAUCAGCAAACACAGGGAUAAUAAAUAACAAAAAUCUUCUUUGGUUUGGCUCAGUUGCGGUCGCGCGAAAAAGAUAAGAGAAUGUGGGCUGCGCUGUUAGUGGUGUCUUGAUUUGGAACUCUGGCUUCUUCAUAUGGGAAUUUUAAUUUGAUUGAUCUUUCUGCUAAUUUCAAAGAAUAUCUUUCUGCUAAUUAUAUGGAACUCUACCUUCUUCAUUUGGGAACGAUGGAUUUAGAUUUUGGUCUUAUUGUUUGGUGGACUUGGCUUCAU